Molecule: long non-coding RNA, 4855 nt
Organism: Astatotilapia calliptera (eastern happy)
Lineage: Eukaryota; Metazoa; Chordata; Actinopteri; Cichliformes; Cichlidae
Source: Ensembl
AAAAUCCAUUGCAACUAUAGUGGCACUGCCUUCACCCGGGUGGCACGGUCCAACGGAGCAGGGACAACAAGAACGCUCCUCUCUGCGAGAUAUGAUUCAACAAAAGUUCAAGCAAGAGAUGUUUGCUAAACCUCAAGAAGAAAUGUUGACUAUUCAAGCUAAAAAUACCACGUUGCAUCGGAAUGGUCAAAACUUGAGACCAGCUGCUAAAAAGGGCCGCAACUCCAAGACACCGGGCCAUGAAAGGGAGGCAGCGGGUCACCUUGUGACCUCCUUGCCUACCGAGGAAGGCUUGCCACAGCUGGACUUGUUAGCUCUCAAGUCUCCGAAGCCUGACGUAGAAAACCAGACUGAGAUUCAAGCCCUCAGACGACCCCUGAAACUUGCCCCGCUGGAGCUGCCAGAGAAGGUGAAGGAGGCUCAGAAGGAAAAGCUUAAGUUUAUCCACCAAGAACCCAACCCAGCCUCUUGUAAGCUGGAUGGGACCCAUACGAGGAAGGCAAAAUCAUGCAUGAGGCAAAGACUGGUAAAAGCAGAGGCAUUUCCUUCUGCUUCCAUUGCACCAGUCAAAGCCCAGCAGCAAAAUCAAUCAGCAAGGCCACAGCUGACGCGUGCCAACCCCAUAGAGCAGGAUGGACACAAGCAUCUGGAGGAUGUGGUGUGUCGAGGUACCCCAGCUCCUCUGUGCAGCAAACCUAACCCUCCCUCAUUUUUCCCUCAAAUUAAAGCUCAGGCUGCAUGUGGCAGAGAGGCGGCGUGCCACAUCCCUGGCAACUUCCAGGAGGAGACAGGUUGGAGGCGGCUAAGGCUGCCUAGAGCACAAUGCCUAGAAGAGGAUCAGUGCAAUUCAAACACGUCAACACUAGGAUUAUCAGCAGAUGAGUGCAAGCUGGUCCAAGGUGUCCAAGGCAAAGGGCAGCGGGGAGAGAGGCUUCUUCGAGGACAGCCACAUGUUGGGAAAGGCAUCAAACAGCCGCCUGCACCUGCAGCCUCCUGGGAGAAUGGAAGUGCCAGGAAGAGCCACGAGGAGGAUGGCAGUAAGCAAGCUGCACUCUGAACCGACAGUCAGCUGAAGGUGGAAGCAGAGAACAGGAACUUGAUAGUCUGAAGCCAAGUGCUGCUAACUGCAGAUUAAUGAGGAAAAAAGCCUUGAUCGCAAAGCAUAACAAUGCAGUCCCUCUGGAAUGUCUCUAAUAAAAUAGGAUGAUGUCAUCAUAAAGCACACACAUGCAGAGGACUGGUAUAGACUGGAAUGUACUCCAACUGGAAACCUGAUUUCUAGUAUUUUAAGCAGGAAUGUACAACAUAAUGAUUACUCUUCGGCAGUGCUUAUUUAUUUAUUUUUUAUUAACUCAAAUGUCUCCAGUGUGAAAAUAGCUCCUUAUGAAAUCUCGGGGGUGUAUUGUACAUGCUGUUGGCACAAAGACCCGGAUCAAGAUUUUUUUGUGGCCCAAAAACAGAAAAUGCAAUGAAAAAAACCUGGUUUAUGAUCAGAUGUGUAGAUAGGUCGGGAGCGCAUUUGUUUUGUUAAAUUAUCAUUCUUUCUGAUUUGUUAAAGCAAUUCUGCUUUUCUAAGCAGAAUUAAUUCGACCUAUAGGCAGCUACAGGAGUUUCUGAAUGCCAGCUGAGUUUUUUGUUGUUGUUUGAUCACACUCCUCCACCCUGGAAGUGCUUUAAUGUGGCUUUUGGAAACGAGCCAGGCAGGUAACAUUAGAGAUGUAACUCACCCCAAAGUAUGAACCCGUGAGCUCACUGUCAUUACUGCCAUUAUAUACUGUCUGCUUUAUUCAUUAAAUUAUCUUUGGUAACUAAGUGCUAUGUUUGCUCUAGAAAUAAAAAGGAGACUGUGGAUCCAAAACUUCUUUCCACUGCCCCCAAGUGGUCAGAAACAGCAGUUACUGAAAGAUUUACUGCAGUGAAAAUCUGCUGCUUGGAGUCAGCGUCUUAUAAACACCAAAGGAAAAGCUUCAAAAGCUUUUUCAGGGUUAUAGUCUAUGCCAACUGUGACCUCUGGCCAGGAAUAAACAAUAAAAGCCACUAAACAAGAAAAGUAAAACUUUUCAAGCCAAACCUGCAACAAAAUCAAUGAUAUAACUGUUUGCAGUGUUUUUCCACUCAUUAAAAAUCUGCAUAUGCAGUGCUGUCUCUUGUGGACCCCACUAAUAAGAAAAAACAAAGCACAAACAACAUGUUUGUAUAUUAAGAAGUUAACCUCUCUAGUAAAGAACCUUCUACACAUCACAUCAGACUUUCUAGUAAAAGUCCUUGUUUCAGUGCGAUCUUCAGUAUGUUUUGGUUUCUUUCACUUCCGCAGCUAUUACAUUUUAUUGCUAUUUCUCUUGUUUUAUUGAACAUCCAUUGUGUUCUGUUUGUCUUUGCACCAUUUUUCUAUUUGCCAGUUUUUCUUAAGCUGCAGUGUGUUUGACCUCUGAGGGCAGUCUAAGUACAACACUACACAAGUCAACAAUGACAAGAACUAAUUUCACAGACUCUACUGAAGGGCGGCCCUCAAGAGUGAUACCCUGGAACAGUAAGAAGUUUUAUGGUACAGAAAGUAGCUGUCUUUGUCAUUCAGGUUCAGUGGCAGAUGCCAUUGAGGUGUUUUGAAACCAGUGUGGCUCACAGACGGACUGAAAACGACUCUCAGCUCUCUGAAACUGUGACCCCUGUAAACACUGCUAGUGAUUUUAUAGCCCUAGUUGCGGGUUUCAGGUCAUACUGAUUAAAUAAUUAAUUUCUGAAAGGGAGAUUUGUCUCCAAAGCGCUUGCUGAUGGGGCAUCAUGGAGAUUAUUCUGGUUUUCUCUGUUUUCUUUGUAAUAUUGUAGGAUCUUUAUCUUACAAUGUAAAGCACACUGAGGCAACUGUUGUUGUGAUUUGGUGCUAAAUAAAUAAAAUUUAAUUGAACUGAAUUGAAUUAUCCCCAGUAUGCUAAUCACAAGUUGUUAGCUGGAGAGCGUUCAGGUUCACAAUCUGAUUCAACAUUUGUUUGGAUUGUAAAACAUGAUCCAUCUUUUAUACUGUCUUUGGUCUGUAUAUAGUCUUGUCUGUGGGAAAAAGCAGGCAGGGACCAGAAAACUGGAAUAAACAUAAGGACAAAACACAUGAUUUGUUCCUUCAUACUUUUGAGUUCUUUUCCACCAAUCAUCUGACUAAAAACUCAGUUAUUCAAGGACUGAGAUGCUCUCUGUUCUGUCAUCAAAAAAUGUCUCUGAACAAGUCUCGACAUCAUGGAGGAGAUUGCCAUCUUUGAGAAUGGACAGAGACGAGUCUGCACCAGGAAAAGUUCGGGCAAAAAGAUGCUUUUCAAGGGAGUCAUGAGAAAUAUACAGAGAGCUCAUGUGAACCUCCUAGCUUCAAAAGAUGAGGAGCUGAAGUCGAAGAGAGCCUGGGAUAUUCUAUAAGUGAAUCUAAACUGGAAUGUGGGUAAUUCAACAGAAAACAUGCAUAAAGUGCCGGAGAACUCCAAUACUUUUAUGAUGACAGUAGGACAGCUGUGAGCUCUCACAGACAGGAAGAUGUCACAAAUCUGUGAAUCAUUGGAAUUGGCCUGACAUGUAACAGUGGUUACUGAUGUCUACCUGAUCUGGUCGACAUAAUUUCAGCACAACAGGUCUCCUCUCAAAUGUACGGAAGACGAUUAGGGCCACCAGAAGAAAAAGUGGGCACGUCUUUUUUUUCUUUUCCAGAAUUCUGAGAAAAAAAUCUGAAUUCUGAGAUUAAAGUCAUAAUAAUAAAUCCUGCCAGUUAUUUUGAAUCUUUUACCUAAAUAAAUAAGGAAAGAGCCAUAACUUUAUUUUCACUUCUCACUGGAAAACAUGAGUGUGAAUGGUUGUAUAUUUCUGUGUCUUAGCACUGCAAUAGGAUGGCAGCUUGUUCAGGGUGUGGCCUUUUUCAGGACUUAUAGAUGCUCACUGGAACAUGAAAACUGCUUGUAUGGAAUCACUAGUCAAAUAUUAAAAGAAUUCAAUGUCAUACUAAAUUGUGUGACGAUAGUUUUGCGAUGUUGUGAUGUGAUGUUGAAGAACUCUUAAGUACCGUACAUGCUACUCUUAAGUAAUGUGGCAUAAACCAAGCUAUGUUGUUCAGGUCAGCUGGUUUCUCACAGAAAAGACUCAAAACUUUUCUUUUUCCAAAUAAUUACACACAUUUACAAUAAUUUGAUUACACAGCAGUGGAGAGUAGACUUUAUCAAAAUGGUAAAUGGCCUGUAUUUGUAUAGCGCUUUUCUAGUCCGUAAGGACCCCAAAGCGCUUUACACAACCUGUCAUAAUGCAUUGAGUUUUUCCUUUCCAGUCACCUUUCUCACUCACUAUGUAUUAACAGACCUCUCUGCAUUGAAUCAUAUCUGCUAUUGACCUCUGUCUCUCUUCCACAGCAUGUCUUUUAUCCUGUCUUCCUUCUCUCACCCCAACCAGUCGCAGCAGAUGGCCCCGCCCCUCCCUGAGCCUGGUUCUGCCGGAGGUUUCUUCCUGUUAAAAGGGAGUUUUUCCUUCCCACUGUCGCCAAAGUGCUUGCUCAUAGGGGGUCAUAUGAUUGUUGGGUUUUUCUCUGUAUCUAUGAAGCGCCUUGAGGCGACUUUUGUUGUGAUUUGGCGCUAUAUAAAUAAAAUUGAAUUGAAUAGGCCAAAUGAACAUGAUACUUUCACUAAGAUAAAAUGGUAAAAUAUGUGAGAAAUUCAUUCUUAAAGAUUGUCUGCUCGACCACUAACUCUCAGACAAAAACUGGAAGCACAUUGUGAGAGUAAGCCUGUAUCAGUAAGCCUGGCUGUCGGUUGCAUGACAGAUGGCUUUCUCCAACACUACAUGAUGCCUUCAGCCUCUCACUCACCAAACAUGCUGGUCAACUCUUUAGCCC